GAUGAACGCUGGCGGCGUGCUUAACACAUGCAAGUCGAACGAAGCACUUUAUUACGAUUUCUUCGGAAUGACGAUUUGGUGACUGAGUGGCGGACGGGUGAGUAACGCGUGGGUAACCUGCCUUAUACAGGGGGAUAACAGUUAGAAAUGACUGCUAAUACCGCAUAAGCGCACAGGAUUGCAUGAUCUGGUGUGAAAAACUCCGGUGGUAUAAGAUGGACCCGCGUCUGAUUAGCUGGUUGGUGAGGUAACGGCCCACCAAGGCGACGAUCAGUAGCCGACCUGAGAGGGUGACCGGCCACAUUGGGACUGAGACACGGCCCAAACUCCUACGGGAGGCAGCAGUGGGGAAUAUUGCACAAUGGGGGAAACCCUGAUGCAGCGACGCCGCGUGAGCGAAGAAGUAUUUCGGUAUGUAAAGCUCUAUCAGCAGGGAAGAAAAAAUGACGGUACCUGACUAAGAAGCCCCGGCUAACU
RNAcentral lists this ribosomal RNA (477 nucleotides) under uncultured bacterium. Its description in RNAcentral is "bacterial SSU rRNA". It matches the Rfam family "Bacterial small subunit ribosomal RNA", at positions 28 to 502 of the family's 1533-position model. The record is from RNAcentral.